RNAcentral lists this transfer RNA (74 nucleotides) under Methanocalculus taiwanensis. RNAcentral's name for it is "tRNA-Val". It matches the Rfam family "tRNA". From Rfam's summary of the family: Transfer RNA (tRNA) molecules are approximately 80 nucleotides in length. Lineage: Archaea; Methanobacteriati; Methanobacteriota; Methanomicrobia; Methanomicrobiales; Methanocalculaceae. RNAcentral also lists the same sequence under 3 other names. The record is from RNAcentral.
GGACUCGUGGUCUAGCUGGUUAUGACGCCGCCUUCACACGGCGGAGAUCUCGUGUUCGAAUCACGACGAGUCCA